This is a long non-coding RNA of Herpailurus yagouaroundi (jaguarundi), 2452 nucleotides long. RefSeq lists it as uncharacterized. NCBI's taxonomy places the organism in Eukaryota, Metazoa, Chordata, Mammalia, Carnivora, Felidae. The record is from RefSeq and is a predicted model, not a curated record. The transcript has 4 exons.
GGGGUGAGGGUUAGGGUGAUGGUGAGAAUUUCGGGUUUAGAGUUAAGGUUUGGGGUUGGGGUGCCAGGGCCAUGCGCUAGAGUUGGGGCCUAGUGUCAGGAUCUAGGGUCAGGGUGAGGGCCAGAGAUCAGAAGUAAGGGCCCAGCGUUCAGGGACAAGGUUAGGGGUUAGUAUUCAGGAUCAGACUGGCUGCUGACCGUUGUAGUCCAUCUGGACUGCUAAAACGGAACCGUAUUUUGGUAUUUUUGGUGGCUUAUAACCCGUAGAAAUCAAUGCCUUACAGUGGUUGAGGCUGGAAGUCUGAGAUGAGGGUACCAGCAUGGUCAGGUGAGGGUCCUGUUUGUAGUGGCACACUUCUCCUCUUUUGACAUGUAGGGGAUGGGUUAGGGUCUCUUAUAGGGGGAGUAAUCCCAUUCAUGAGGACCCCACCCUCAUCACCUAAUCACCUCCCAAGGGCAUCCUGUUCUAACAUCAUCACAUCAGGCAUUAGGAUUCCAACAGAUGAAUUUGGGGGAAAACAAACAUUCAGAUCAUAGCACUGAUGUAAGAGAUAGAUGGAAUUUUUUUUCUUAUAAUUGACCUUUACUUAAAAAAAAAAAAACAAAAGAACCCUACCUCUUUUCCCAGUCAAGGUACCAGGAUGAUGGGCUCUAUCUCAGUUGGAAUUUCCAAAUCGUGGCACUGAAUUUCAGAGAUUAACUGGAUGUGCCACGAGGGGCUAAACUGUUCGUGGCUAAGACUACUUCUUGUGAUAAAAGAUUAACAGGAGAAAAACAGAAGUGUAAUUGUGUGUAUACAUCCUGUAUACGUGGGACAUACUCAGGAAAACUGAUUAACUUCCCCAAAUGGCUGAAGUAAUCACUUGGAAUGUUUCAGUAGUCGGAAGGCCAAUUAAGGGAGGCUAUCAGACCAAGCAAGAGUAUAUGAGGGGUAAGGUUGUUAAUCAGGUUUAAGUCCAGAGACUUUGUUACAAAUGGAGGGUUCCUUUGUAAAUGUAAAUUUUUCUCACUAAAGGACAACUUUUAUUCGGUUUUCAGAGAUUCUCCUCUGUCUUCUGUCUGUUAAAAUCAAUUAGCCCCAAAUAAUACUUGUGCCCAAGAGACUUAUCUUGGGCAUGGUGGCAUAUUCUGCUUCCUUCACAUGGAUGCACCUGUUUGCUUAUGGAUUCAUGUUUUGAAGGACAUCCUGAUUUCUUGAAGACUUUUGCCAUUACGAAUAGAGCUGCUGUGCAUAGCUGCAUGUGAGUUUUUGUUUGGAAAUAGUUUUUCAAAGCAGUUGUGUGAGUACCUGAAGUGUGAUGAUGGUUGAUUCUUAAGGCAAGACUUGUUUAACUUUGGGGAAAAAUGCCAAACUAUUUUCUGUUAAACUUAAAAAUGAAAUCGCCAAUUAUUUUACCAGCAAAAAUGGGUUUAUUUGGGAAUAGUUGAGAAUUUCAAUCCAAGACAAGCAAGCUUAGGCAAAACCAUAAGCAAGCACACGGAACAAAGCAGAGGAGCAUUAGUCUUCUAUAGAGGAAACCGAGGAAGUUGGGAGGUACUGUCCUAAACAGAAAGUUCACUGGAGUAAACUGGGGGCUUGAUGUGUAGUGGCUUCUCAUUGGCUGACCUGUGACAGUCUGUCAUUGGCUGAGCUGUUGUCUGGGGAGGAGGAAACCUUUCUUCCUCCUGCUAGGAUAGUAAAAGGGUCCUGUUGGGUCUGCAAUUGAUGUAGAGUGGUAGGUGUGAGAGUCUCUCCUGCCAAGCCUUCCUAGACUUCAUUUUAGUGAGGUUUCCUGUUACUAGUUUUCACUUCCAAAGUGGCUGCACAUGCAUUCCCCAAAUGAAGGAGGGUUCUUCUCAUUCUGCACUAACAAUUGGCAUUGUCAAAAUUUUUUUGGAGUUUAGCAGUUUUAAUAGGUGUGUAGCAAUUUGGAAUUUCCUAAUGAUACAUGGAUGUAGAGCAUACUUUUGUAUGCUUAUUUACUAUCCGUCUAUUUUCUUUGGCCAGGUGUCUCUUCAGAUCCUUACCCAUUUUCAUUUAGGUUGUGUGUUUUCUGAUUGUUGACUUCUGAGAGUUUUCUGAAAGUUCUUAAUGUAUUUUGAAUACAAAUCUGUUAUCAGAUGUGUGUUUUGCAAAUAUUUCUUGCAGUUUGUAGGCUUGCCUUUUGGGUCUCUGAACAAGGUCUUUCAUGGAGUAAAAGUUUUCAUUUUAUAAAGUUCACAUUACCAGUUUUUUUCUUUUGCAUGUUAUGUUUGGGCUGUCCAGUUUUCCCAGCACCAUUCAUUGAAGAGACUGUCUUUUCACCAUUGUGUAUUAUUGGCUCCUUUGUUGUGAAUUAAUUGCCCACAUAUGUGUGGAUUUGCUUCUGGUCUCUCCAUUCUGCUCCAUUGGUCUUUCUGUCUCUUAGCCCAUAGCAUACUGUUGGUUACUGUAGCUUUGUAAUAUAGUUUAAAAUCAGGGAAUGUGAUGCCUC